RNAcentral lists this ribosomal RNA (497 nucleotides) under uncultured bacterium. RNAcentral's name for it is "partial 16S ribosomal RNA". It matches the Rfam family "Bacterial small subunit ribosomal RNA", at positions 28 to 507 of the family's 1533-position model. The record is from RNAcentral.
GACGAACGCUGGCGGCGUGCCUAAUACAUGCAAGUAGAACGCUGAAGAGAGGAGCUUGCUCUUCUUGGAUGAGUUGCGAACGGGUGAGUAACGCGUAGGUAACCUGCCUUGUAGCGGGGGAUAACUAUUGGAAACGAUAGCUAAUACCGCAUAACAAUGGAUGACACAUGUCAUUUAUUUGAAAGGGGCAAUUGCUCCACUACAAGAUGGACCUGCGUUGUAUUAGCUAGUAGGUGAGGUAACGGCUCACCUAGGCGACGAUACAUAGCCGACCUGAGAGGGUGGUCGGCCACACCGGGACUGGGACACGGCCCAGACUCCUACGGGAGGCAGCAGUAGGGGAUCUUCGGCAAUGGGGGCAACCCUGACCGAGCAACGCCGCGUGAGUGAAGAAGGUUUUCGGAUCGUAAAGCUCUGUUGUAAGUCAAGAACGAGUGUGAGAGUGGAAAGUUCACACUGUGACGGUAGCUUACCAGAAAGGGACGGCUAACUACGUG